RNAcentral lists this long non-coding RNA (4292 nucleotides) under Mytilus galloprovincialis (Mediterranean mussel). The record is from RNAcentral. Lineage: Eukaryota; Metazoa; Mollusca; Bivalvia; Mytilida; Mytilidae.
GGUGAUGAAAACCAAGCUACCGGCAUGAGGUGAAUUUGAAAGCUUCCCAAAUUAGUAACUAUCAAUGUGUACCCAUAGAAAAGUUUUGCCCUUCUUUUAUCAAAAAUGAAAUAUGCUGAUAUUAAUGUAUAAAGGUAUUAUCUUAAAAACUUUAUACCUGUAUUCUAUAAUUCUAAAGUGUACAUGGUGUAAAUCAAAAUGAUCAAGGGAAAAUAAUGUAAAUUAUCUGUGCAUUGGGGUCUAUUAAGGGGUAUUUUUUGGGGGGCGAGGAGAGGUCAAGAAAGAAGGGAGGGGUUUACAUACAUGGUAUAGAACCCUAUGGGCAGCUGUAUGGGAUUUUAUUUUCAAAAAUUUUCAAAUGAAUAUAUAACUUGUAAACUAGACACACGCAGUCUUCAGAAAUUAUGAUAGGACAAUAAAACAAAUCACAUGAAAUAUAGGGUGAGUCCAUGGGGGUAAUCCCCACCCCCUUUAAUUUGAGAAUAUGCUAUUAUUUUGUAUACAGUCCAGAUCCACACCCCUAAACCAUAUAUAUUCUGAAAUGGGACGAUAAAACAAAUCAAUUAAAAUUAAAGGGAAGCCCCUGGGGGUCAUCCCACCCCGUUCAAUUUAAGAAUGUGCAAUUAACAUGUUAACAGUCCAGAUCCCCACCCCUAUACCAUAUAUAUUCUUGGGUGGGACAAUAAAACUAAUCGAAUAAAAUUAAAUGGAAGUCCCUGGGGGUCACCCCAUCCCGUUCAAUUUGAGAAUGUGCUAUUAACUUGUGAACGAUCCAGAUCCCCACCCCUAAACCAUAUAUAUUCUUGUAGGGGACAAUGAAAUAAAUGAAAUGAAAUAAAAGGGAAAUCCUUAGGGGGUCACCCCACCCCCUCUUGUUUUAAAACUUGUAAACAGUCAAGAUCCCCACCCCUAAACAAUAUAUAUUCUUGUAUGGAACAAUUAAACACACUAAAUGAAAUAUAGGGAGAGUCCAUGGGGGUCACCCCCACCCCCACAUGUUUGAAAAACUUUUAAAUGGUUGAAAUCCCUAGUGGUUAGGUGAAAAAAAAUUCCAGAUCCCUGAUCCCCACCCCUAAACCAUAUAUAUUCUUUUAUGAGACAAUAAAACAAAUCCAAUGAAUAUGGGACCAUAGGAAUGGUGAGUUAUUGGAUCUUUGUUUAGGAGACUUGGUAACAGCAUCCUGUUACAAUUACUUCUUGUUUGAACAUAAUUUUGGUUUUUAUUAUGCCUGUCUCUCUUCUACAUUUUUGGAUAAAUAGACUCAAAAUCCAGCAAAUUGCAAGUUGAACCUUCUUCAGUAGGUCUAUCCCCAUCAGAGACCAAAUGAUGCACAAGUAAGGUAUAGGUAACUUGUCAAAGAGACAACAACCCAACCAAAGAGCAGACAACAGCCGAGGGUCACCUAUGGGUCUUCAAUGCAGUGAGAAAAUUUCGACACUGGUCUUCAGCUUAUAAAUAUGUAUCAGAAAUGAGAAUGAUAUACAGCUCUCAGUUACAUUAAUAAAAACCUCACAAUAAGUUCUGAAUAUCAGAAUAUACAGCAUUGCAAGAUUCUCUCAAAAUGUACACAUGGAGCUGAGAAACUGUAAAAUUAAUCAUACUAAUUUAACAUUAAAGUCCUCGGAAUCAAUCUUAAUAUGCAUACUCUUGUACAAAGGAAUAUAAGUAUGCAAUAGACAUAUAUCAAUAUGGUCUUCAAAAAUAAGAAUAUCGAUGCCAUUAAUUUAUGACAAGUUCUUAACCAAGUAAUGAUUUUGGUUUUUUAAAUAUUUCGGAGGUUAGUAUGAGCUCCUUUUUUGUCAUGUUUGUGAUGUUUUUGUUAUAAGUUGGAAAAAAUUGUUUGUACCAACAAAAAUAAAAACACAAAGUUAAUCUAGAAUUAUGUUUUAUCAUUUUUUAAUGUUUAGGUUGUCAGCAAGAUGAAAACAACAAAUAUGCAGUUCAAAAGUCGGAAUGUGGAUAAGCUGAGGUUCAAGGUCCUACUUAUGAAUUUGAAGUUUAUAUUAUGGACGGCAGUGAAAGAAAAAAAAAAAUUCUCAAUUUUCCUGCUUCUAUAGGAUAAAUGUAAAACGUCUUGUUUUCGGUAAGUUUUAAUUAUUUUCUGUUUUUAAGGGGGCUCGCGGGUCUAAAUCUUUUUUUUUUAUAUAAUAUAGGAUUUUGCUAUAUUUUUCUAUAAAAGAACUUUAUCUUAUACGUAACAGAAAAAUGAAAUAAAAAAAUGGGGUCACGGUUCAUAUACGCUCACAAUCUGUUUUGAAAGAAGCAUACAUUUUUUUAAUGUCCUUUUUUUCUGUUGGUAAUAGGAGAAAUAGCAGUAAUGUCGAAAUAAAAAAAAGAACUUUAUUACAGAAAUCGCUUAAAUUUUACAAUUAUUUAAUUUAUGUACAGCUUAUUCAAAAAACAACAAUAGAAAAUAUAGGUCACCGAUGAGUUAAAAAAGAUAUUUCAAUUUUAAUGCAAAAAAUGACAUGUUUGCACAAAGGGAGAUAAUUUGGAGCUUUUUCAUAUAUAUACAUUUUAAAAGGAAACCACUAUUAUGGCCCAUUGCUUUCUAUGUUAAAUUCCUCAAUUUCGAGUGGUCACAGCUCUUUUAUCUUAAGUUCAAAUAAAGUGACAAUCAUUGCAUGUCAAAGCAACACCUUCUGGUGUCCUGUACUGAAAAAAUCAACAUACCUUACAUUGCAUAUAAGAAAGAACUGGUUCCCGGAACUUCAGAUGUACCAAAACAGGUACUUCCGAUCUGACAAAAAGGCAAAAUGUACUCUCCCUUUUAAAUUUCAUGCCAUUUUUUUUAUUAUUCAAAUUUAUCAGUCAAAAAUUGUUCUACAAUGAUCACCAGUCUUGCAGCUUUCAUUUGAUACCAAAAUUAAUAAAAUACUCUAAAUAUUUUGAAAGUUAUGUCCAUGCGUGGGAACUAUUUUGUGUUAAAUAUGUACUACUUUCUGGUAUGUGCUUUCUGGCCGGGCCCAAAUUAGUGGUGUUACACCAAAAGUCACCUUGGGCCAACAGGAACUGAUUUUUUGGAAUGAUUUGUACCAUAUGAUAAAGUAACAACUACUACAGGUAAUAAAUAAAAUUUGUAAUGAAAAAUGAAUGUUUAAUUUUUUUCGAAAAUCUUAUACCAGCGAGCCUCCUUAAUAGUGUUUGUGCAUUUAUCUGUCCAGUCUCUCCUCUAAAUUGUAUUCUCUUUAAGUAUUGGUGAGUGUUCGCCAUGAAUUUCAGUGAGUAACUUGUGGAUUUACAUGUAUAUUUAUACUCAAAAUUAAGUACUAAUAUUAAUGGGAGUUUAGCAUGACAUCCUGUCAAAUGCUUGUUAAUCAGGUUUAUGUGCCAGAACAUAUGAGUAUUUGGACUGUACGCAUACAGUCUGCCCAAUUUUAAGAAGUUGGUCAAGUUUACUAUAAACAAUUUACAUUACAGAUCAACAUAACUGAAAUCUUCAAUAGAUUAAUACAAAAAGUUAAAUUGCAUUUGAAAUAAAAACACAUGUUUUGUCGAGCUGGUACUAGACAGUACAAGUAUACGCAAAUGGUCUGACUGUAUGCAUAUGGUCAGACUGUAAGAGUAUAUUUAUAUGUUCCAGACUGUAAACAUACGGUUCAAAUACUGAUAUGGUCUGGAAUAUUUAUACAUGUCUUAAAAUUAAUAUCAAACACAUUGGUGUUUGUGAACUUGGUAAUAAGUUAUUGGAUAGAUCUGUAAUGUUUUUGGACAUCAAAAUAAAAAAAUAUCUCAUUUUUAUUUUUAAUCAAGAAGAAGAUUGUUGAUGUAUGUGUAACUGUAUAUAAAAAUGAGACAGCAAGCCAACAACACAAAAAAUAAGGAAAUGUGGUAUAUUGCUAAUUUGACAACUCCAUCAGAGACCAGAGGAUGUAGGCGGUUAGCAACUGAUGACCAUGAUGACACUGGACAACCUUUAACAAUCAGUUAAAUCCAUACCGCAUAACUAUUUUUAUUGAAAAUCAUAUUAUUGCUACAUAUAUGCAAACAAUUUUGUAUAAUAAAUAACUUCAGAUUUUAUUGGUUCUUUUUCAGAAGGAUUGAAGUUCAUCACCUAGAAUAAAUGGAGAAAACAUAGAACAUUUUAGAAACAAGACCAGAAUAAAUUCAAAGACAAAAGUUGGAUCAGUUAUUAUUUUCAUCACUCAGUCAAUGAUUUGGACUUCUUUUAAAUACCAAAAGAUAUUGAAACCACAAUAAUGUCAAUGUUAUGUGCUGAAUGACCAAAAAGUGGACUAUACAAUCACACAAUGCUUGAUUGUAAGAAACUAUUAAUGUUUUAGUGGAGGGA